UAGCAUGUAGUGAAAGUAGCCAGGACUGCAUUCAAGGUUUUCACCUUUCGGUUCCCUGUUUGCCUCCGACAAGAAAUACAUGGAAGCUGACUUUUCCUCUACCCCAUUGCAGCCAGCACUGCAGCUUGUGUAUGGAAGAGAGAGAUGCUGUUCCUUUGCAGGAGUUGCUGAGGCUGUGCACAGAUGAUCAAGAGGGACAAGAGACACAGGACACUGGCUUAAGGGUAUGCAGAUCACAAAGCUUUUUGAUGAAGAGAACAUGCAGCUGGCUGUUCCAGAAAAAUAAACACCACUUUUAAAUAUCUAGCCCUCUUGCCAUCUCUGAAGAAUUUCUGCCAGCUGAUUUACAGUUUCCCUCUACAUUAUGAAGACUAAUGUGAGAAGAGUUUUAGUUUUGCUGUGAGAAUUCAUCUACUUCUGCCCCUCUUUCCUCAUCUGAAGUCAGUGAAGUGAUGGUUCAGACUUGUCCAAUUACUUAAUCCAAAACUGCAUCCUACUCUCAGCUAGUGCCGAGGUGAUCCAGCAGGCAAGAGGUCUGUGCUAUUCAGUGAAGCAUGUUGAGCAUACUAGAGGUUAACCUCAGGAAUAAAUCUGUUGCUGAAUAAGGGAGAUGAUCUGAACCACAGCCAAAACUUUGUGAUUUGCAGAUCCACCGCUUUACCUGAGUCUUAAAUUAUUUCUGUGUGCUGGGAAUUCUUUUCUGGGAGAUGGAGGAGAACCACAUUUUUCUGCCUUGGUGACCCAGCAGCCUUUUGAGCAAAACAGUGGAAAGAGCCCAUCCUAGACUCCCUACAGGCAGCAGUCUUUGCUUCUUGAAGUUGUUUUCUGUGUGAGCAGUGAGACUGAAGAUUAUUUGUGACCUUCCAUAAAAACCAGAAAACAGUCUGUGGUUGGAAAUAUCAAUGUCAAACAGGUUCAAACUGAAGUUCAAAAGCUCUUAGAAACCCUGCUGGAGACAAAUCCUGGGCUCGGUGGACAUUUGGUGUGAUCAGCUGUGGCUCUCAGUAUUCUAACACUCAUCAUGUGCCUCACUAGUGUCGGGAGAGAUUUGGGCUGUGUACUAAUGGCU
This is a long non-coding RNA of Chiroxiphia lanceolata (lance-tailed manakin), 1069 nucleotides long. RefSeq lists it as uncharacterized. NCBI's taxonomy places the organism in Eukaryota, Metazoa, Chordata, Aves, Passeriformes, Pipridae. The record is from RefSeq and is a predicted model, not a curated record. The transcript has 7 exons.